AUUGAACGCUGGCGGCAUGCCUUACACAUGCAAGUCGAACGGUAACGGGCCUUCGGGUGCCGACGAGUGGCGAACGGGUGAGUAAUACAUCGGAACGUGCCCGCUCGUGGGGGAUAACGAGGCGAAAGCUUUGCUAAUACCUCAUACGAUCUACGGAUGAGAGCCGGGGACCGCAAGGCCUUGCGCGGACGGAGCGGCCGAUGGCAGAUUAGGUAGUUGGUGGGAUAAAAGCUUACCAAGCCGACGAUCUGUAGCUGGUCUGAGAGGAUGAUCGGCCACACUGGGACUGAGACACGGCCCAGACUCCUACGGGAGGCAGCAGUGGGGAAUUUUGGACAAUGGGCGCAAGCCUGAUCCAGCCAUGCCGCGUGCAGGAUGAAGGCCUUCGGGUUGUAAACUGCUUUUGUACGGAACGAAAAGCCUUCUUUUAAUACAGGAGGGUCAUGACGGUACCGUAAGAAUAAGCACCGGCUAACUACGUG
This 482-nucleotide ribosomal RNA is filed under the name uncultured bacterium. RNAcentral describes it as "partial 16S ribosomal RNA". It matches the Rfam family "Bacterial small subunit ribosomal RNA", at positions 30 to 507 of the family's 1533-position model. The record is from RNAcentral.